UGGGGGGGGAAAGAACAACAGGGAUUGCCCCAGUAACGGCGAGUGAAGCGGCAACAGCUCAAAUUUGAAAUCUGGCCCCCGGGUCCGAGUUGUAAUUUGCAGAGGAUGCUUCGGGCGAGGUGCCUUCCGAGUUCCCUGGAACGGGACGCCACAGAGGGUGAGAGCCCCGUCUGGUCGGACACCGAGCCCGUGUGAAGCUCCUUCGAAGAGUCGAGUAGUUUGGGAAUGCUGCUCAAAACGGGAGGUAUAUGUCUUCUAAAGCUAAAUAUUGGCCAGAGACCGAUAGCGCACAAGUAGAGUGAUCGAAAGAUGAAAAGCACUUUGAAAAGAGGGUUAAAAAGUACGUGAAAUUGUUGAAAGGGAAGCGCCCAUGACCAGACUUGGGCCCGGUGAAUCACCCGGCGUUCUCGCCGGUGCACUUUGCCGGGCACAGGCCAGCAUCAGUUUGGCGCGGGGGAGAAAGGCUUCGGGAACGUGGCUCCCUCGGGAGUGUUAUAGCCCGCUGCGCAAUACCCUGCGCCGGACUGAGGUACGCGCAUCGCAAGGAUGCUGGCGUAAUGGUCAUCAGCGACCCGUCUUGAAACACGGACCAAGGAGUCGUCUUCGUAUGCGAGUGUUCGGGUGUCAAACCCCUACGCGGAAUGAAAGUGAACGCAGGUGAGAGCUUCGGCGCAUCAUCGACCGAUCCUGAUGUUCUCGGAUGGAUUUGAGUAAGAGCAUACGGGGCCGGACCCGAAAGAAGGUGAACUAUGCCUGUAUAGGGUGAAGCCAGAGGAAACUCUGGUGGAAGCUCGCAGCGGUUCUGACGUGCGAAUCGAUCGUCAAAUAUGGGCAUGGGGGCGAAAGACUAAUCGAACCUUCUAGUAGCUGGUUUCCGCGAGU
This 882-nucleotide ribosomal RNA is filed under the name Cordyceps fumosorosea. Its description in RNAcentral is "partial large subunit ribosomal RNA". It matches the Rfam family "Eukaryotic large subunit ribosomal RNA", at positions 49 to 967 of the family's 3401-position model. Lineage: Eukaryota; Fungi; Ascomycota; Sordariomycetes; Hypocreales; Cordycipitaceae. The record is from RNAcentral.